UAUAUGGUGUAGGAUAUACGAUUUUGGUUUGUAUUGAAAAUAUGUAUAAUAUUCAAAUGAUCUAUUUUGAAUAUUGAUACGUAUAUUUAAGAAAAUAAUAUUUUCAUGUUUCUUAAUUCAUUUAUUGUUCAUAAUAUAUUUAUACUUAUAUUAAAUUUAAAAUUAAUAUAUAUUUUAAAUAUAUAUAUAGGCCUAUUAUUUAUAGAUCCAUUUAGGUGUAUCUGUAGGCCCAAAACCAAAAGACUUAAAUGCCAUUAAUGAAUUUUAUUAAUUCUUUGUAAAAAUAAGGGUAUUUUUGAGAAAAUUGCAAUUUUCAUUAAGGAUAUAAUUUGAGAAUGAUCCUCUUUUAAUGGUAUUGAUAUUUUUAACAAAUCAUGUUUCUAUUUUAUUCACGACAGUAAUUUAAGAUCCUAUCGAUUUGUAGGGUUGAGCCGUCGUAAGUGUUUGUGAAAGAAAAUAAAUAAAUAAUAGAAAACGUAAAGAGAAAACUAAAAAGUGAGGAAGAGAUAGUCGUAUGUUAUAGACGACAUGGAGUAAGAUAGUUCUAAUAUUUUAGUCUUCUUAUUCCAAAUUUAUGUGUCUCAUCAUGUGUGGUGUCUUUGAAUUUUUUUUUUAUUUGCUGAGAUUCCCAAAAGCUUUAUAUUCACUGAAAAAAUAUCUCAAUUAUGUUUGAUUUGUACCUUGUAUGAUAAUUCUGGGGUUGAUAUGUUCUUUUAUUUAAAUGGUGUAUCUGAUAAACUUUACUUGUUUACAAUGCAGUGACGAAGAGACGUUGAAACUAAAUAUCCACUUUGGUGGAACAAUGAAGAAAGAAGCUGAUGAUUAUAUUUAUCUUAAUGAGUCGGGCUUUAAAAAUGUUUUAUGGAAAAUGUAUGAGAUAAGUUGGAAGAAGUUUCAAGAUUUCAAUAAAGCUGAAGGCAUUGUGACAGAGUUAAGAUUGAUUUGGUACAAAGAAACAAGUGAGGAGAUGAAGAAUAUCAAUUAUGUGUUUGAGGAUGUUAAUGGUGAUAUCUCAGAGUUGUGUUCUUCUGCGAGAAUAGCAAGUGCAAUUGAUGUUUUUCUAGAAAAUGAAGAUGAGAGUGGAUAUGUAGCUGAAGGAGAAUAAGGUGAUGAAACUGAUAUAGACGAGAGAUCAGCGGACGAUGGCGAUGAAUCUGAUGAUGAUAAGCCACCAAAAGAAGAGGAUGACCCUGAGGAAUCUGAGGACGAAGCUGAUACAACUAAGAAUAAAGGUGAUGAUUUAAAAGAACUGCAGGCUCGUGGUGAUGAUUUUAAUGAGAAGCAAGAUCGUGGUGCUGAUUUAAAAGAAAUGCAGGCUCAUGGUGAUGAUUUGCAGAAUAAGGGUGUUCGUAAUUUGGUGAACGAUGGAGAUGAUGUUAUUUUAGACGCAGGAAAUGGUGGUGAUGAUAACAGAUUUCAGUCCCUGUUUGAGGAGGGUACAAGAAGAAGUCCCAGGUUGAAUGAAUUAACUCGUAAUUUAGCUGCAGAACAGGCAAAAGAUGAAAGGGACGAAGAAGAAUCUGAUCCUGAAUUUGGCUUACAAGACGUCCAAUAUCCAGAUACACCGUUAAGUUCAGAUGAAGAGUGGGAGCAAUGGAAAAAUCCUAAAAGAGAAAAAGAAAAAGAAAAAUUUCACGGAGAUUUUGACAAAGAGCCGUACAUUUGGUUGUUUCAGAAAUUCAAUAGUGGAUUAGAGUUAAGGAUCAGCUACUACGCUACUCAUUGAAUACUCAAUAUGAUGUUAAAAUGGCAAAAAUCAGAAGCAACAAGGAUAGCUUCUAUAUGUUGCAAGAGUGACUGCCCUUGGAGAAUAUAUUGUUCGGUUGAGCGGCCAUUGAACAUGUGGAUGGUGAAAGUUUGUCACAACAAGCAUAACCAUGGAAAAUCAAGUCGAGUAUCAAUGCUGAAGCAAGGUGUGAUUGCAGGUCUGUUUAGAGAAGAAAUCAGAAGAAAUGUUAAUUUACAGGCUGCAGAGAUAAAAGACAUGAUAAAGGAACGUUAUAACAUUGUUGUCAAUAUUUCAAAGUGUUACAAAGCCAGACGAAUUGCUUUGGAUACAGUCCUUGAAGCUCAAACCAUUCAGUUUGGUAAGCUAUGGUAUUAUGAGGCUGAGCUUAAACGAUCAAACAAAGAUAUCACUACAUAGAUUUGCACUGCUGCUGUCAAUGGUGUACAACAGUUUGUUUGUUUCUACAUUUGUUUUGAAGAAUUUCGGACGACUUGGAAGAAAUGUUGUAGACCAGUACUUGGCCUUGAUGGAUGCUUUUUAAAGUGGGAUUUAGAAGGUGAUUUGCUUGCAGCUGUCGGUAGAGAUGCAGAUAACAAGAUGUAUCCCAUUGCGUGGGCUGUUGUUAAACGUGAAAACAAGGAUACUUGGGGCAGGUUUGUGAAAAAACUCAAACUAGAUCUCAACUUAGGAAUCGGCAGUAAUCUUACUAUCAUUUCUGAUAAGCAAAAGGUAAUUUAUUAUGUGCUUAAUUUCCAUGGUAGUAUCAAUGCUAAUUAUAUAAUCUGAACUUUGAGUUUGAUGAUAACAUAUUUGUUUUUCAGGGUAUUAUCCAUGCCAUAGCUGCUGAGCUUCCAAAAGCAGAACAUCGUAUGUGUGCAAGACAUAUAUACGGCAAUUGGAAAAAAUAUUUUUCCCGGUCAGAAUAUAAAAAUCUGUUUUGGGGUGUGGCGUACAGCUAUCAUGAAGGGGAAUCUAUAUAUAUAUAAAAUUGUUUGCCUCACUCCUAGGUUAUCCAGCUGGAAACUCGAACUCUGAGGGGCUGACACGUGUCCGACUUCUUCCAAACGCGCCGUAUCACUUAAGUUUUAAUACUUCAUGUUGGGCUUGAGUUUCCUUAUUGGUAUUGGGCUUCGGUUUUGUUGAGAGAAAGAAAUUGAACCCUAAUUCCUGUGUCCGAAGGUCAGGAAGGGAUAAGGAAAAAAUGGCACGUGUCUUCUCUGUAACCAUCUAAAACUCUUUUCUAUUCACUUCUUUCAACCAUAUCGAUCUCUUUUCUUUCUCUGAAACCGUAGACGACCGAGCUUCCAUGCAUUCACGAUAAGCCAUCAACUCAAGCUUUAAAUCAGGUCUCAUAAACUCUUUUCUCCUCAUUUAUCAUCUGCAAAAAAAUUUAUAUACAGUGAGCCUUUGAUUUGCUUCAGAUCUGAAAAGGCUGUCGGCCCUAAUAUCAACUCCUAUACCGCUUAAGAAUCGUUUGAUUGGAAGAGGCAGUAUUUAAGGUCUGGCUAGAUCGAAGAUUGAUUUUUAGGUUUUGCUUUCAUCAUACUCUGAUUAUUUUAUGAAAUCUGAUGCAGGCUCUUCAAAAAGAAACAAACUUCAAUACUUCAAGCGAUUCGCUUUUUGAGGUUUUGUUCUUAACCUUCUUCUCCGACAAUUUUAUGAAAAUCUGAUGUUAUAACUUAUAAUGCUUUUAGGGUAGAUGAGAAAUUAACGGCAAGUCUUAGAAAGAAUUUGACUUAGAAUGUUGAACAAGUUCAAACAUUCCAAGGCAGAACAAACCACUUUGGCCUCUAAACUACCUUCUUCCCAACUUAAUUAUCCACAGCAACACAAUCGCAGGAAAAGUAAGCAUCAAAUAGAGAGAAAAUUAGACACAUUACAAUCGAAUUUUUAUAGGUGAUCGAUUACUUAUUAACUGGGUUUUAACUGGGUUUGAUUGUUGUAGGACAUGUUCUUUCACAUGUUAAUUGUUUUCUGGAUUGGUAAGGUCAAAUAUGAUUUGGUUUCCUUAAGUUUCUGAUGGCAAAUCUAAGGAGGUUGUUGAUAGCAGCUUCCGAUAGACUGAUAUUCAUAUAUAAUUAUUGACAGAAGGUACUUGCAAAAAGAGUGGUGUUGGCAAGCCGAUGAAACUUUUGGAUUAAAUUAGUGCAUUGUUGAGGUAUCAAGAUUUUUUCAAGUUAAGUUUUGCCCACAACGUUUACAAUUUCCCAAAUUUGUUAUUGUUUUUCUUUAUUGUUGUCAAGCUUAUGUUGCUAUUCAAGAAAGAAAGAGUGUUAUGGAGUGUUCUUUCUCACCUAUGAUCUUAAAGCUGUAUCUGUCUCUCAAGUCUCAAACCAUCUGCGUCAUAUGGAGGUAAAAAUUGUUUUUUUUGCAGUGAUAUCUAAAUGUGUGUGUUUGCAGGAAGAGGAGACAAUUUCAUGGAAGAACGUCAAUGUUUUGUGCUCGGGCUGUGAUAUGUUUCUACUGUCUUGGUUGCUUUAGAAGAUCGUCUGAGAAUCAUAGGAGGGCACUUGAAUCUCGCAGCUGAAGAAAAAGCUCCCAAGAGAAAUGUAGGAGUGGUCUGGUCCACUAAUAAAAAUGGACGCGGUGGGCCACUAAUGGAUCUGGUCGAUGAUUUGAAUCCAGGAACAUAAUGUAUAGUUGUAAUUUUAAGAAUUGGAAAUGCAUAUAUAAUUGUAUUUUUUUGUAUUAUAAUUGUAAGCCUUACUUCUAAAAA
This is a long non-coding RNA of Brassica napus (rape), 4445 nucleotides long. RefSeq lists it as uncharacterized. Lineage: Eukaryota; Viridiplantae; Streptophyta; Magnoliopsida; Brassicales; Brassicaceae. The transcript is spliced from 2 exons. The record is from RefSeq and is a predicted model, not a curated record.